Molecule: non-coding RNA, 21 nt
Filed under: Arabidopsis thaliana (thale cress)
Lineage: Eukaryota; Viridiplantae; Streptophyta; Magnoliopsida; Brassicales; Brassicaceae
Source: RNAcentral
UGAAGGAAGAAGUGAUGAGGA